UUUAAUUCUCGCCAAUUUCUUCGUUUGUUGUUCUCAUAUCACCAGUUGUUAUGAGCCCAGCCAUAGUUCUAACUGUAGCUACUCGAAUUUGUCGUCUGAUAGCACAAUGAUGGUGAUGGCUCCAGUGGAAUUCUGAUAACUGUAAACAAGCGACGCUCUUUGGAACCUCGACAACCUGGCUGUCACAUUCUGAUCUGAGAGCUCAACCCUCAUCCUCCUCAUGUAAUCAGAUCAACAGGCUAUGACUGCAAGCAAUGAAUACAAGUAUACAACUAAAGAGGCUUAUUAGUAGAGUGAGGUCAAAGAUUGUUGUUUUGCUUUUCUUUUCUUUUUUUCUUCA
This is a non-coding RNA of Arachis ipaensis, 340 nucleotides long. Lineage: Eukaryota; Viridiplantae; Streptophyta; Magnoliopsida; Fabales; Fabaceae. The record is from RefSeq and is a predicted model, not a curated record.